UUUCUUUGAUAUGACUUUUUUUUCUUGCAAUAGUUGCACCAUAUGUUUCUUAUUAGAGAGUUUUUUCCCUUCUUUUUGGUGAGAGUCAAUCUUAACAAGUCCUUUAUCUUUAGGUUUUGUGGUUGCCAUAAUAGUUGUUUUAGAGAUGGGGUUGUUUAGCAUGAUCACUCUACUUAUUCAGUUCGUAUGAGUGAGAAGACCUCAUUUUGAGAUGGCAAAUUCUCAAUGCUUAAGAUUUGAACUCAAACUUGAUCGAAUUUAUUAUCGAGUCUUGCAUGACACUUAAACAUCAUUUCUCUUUCUACAAAUUAUUUGACAAUUACUAUAUCAUCUCUGCACUUCAUUUUGAGAUCUUGAUAGUAAUCUAGUUAAAGCCAAUCCACCUUCAUUGCAUUAAAAUAUUCAAUGAUAGGGAUAUUAUUUUGUCUAGUUGUUGAGAUCUUAGUUUUAAUUUCAUAGAUGAUAGUAGCAUCCUUAUUUUCGAGUAAGUUUGUUUGACAUCAUCCAAUGCAUCCUUUGCUAUUGUUAGGAGCAUCUACAACUCUUAGAUUUCAAGCAUCAUAGAAUUCCAUAACCUUGACAUGAUCAUGGAAUUUGCUUUAUUUCUAAAUGUGAAUUGGGUUCUUUUUGGCUCCAGUUGAGAAGUUUGAAGAUGAUGGAUUUUUUUUCCAUUCAUUUCAAAAAAGGUCAUUACAAUUUUGGACUAUUUCAGAAAAAAGGGAAUAAAAUUCAUUCAUUCAAACUGCCAUUUUCUACUCUCCUCUCUUCUCAUUGAAGCUAAUUUAGGUGAUAUUUUGAAGCAAAUGCUUGCUGCACUUCUAAAUACUGAGCUUGAGUUCCGCAAUCUGAUUCAGACCUGGAAUGUUUCUAUUUAUGUUUCUUUUUCUUUCGCUCAUCAAUCGCUUAGUUCUGAUAUCUGAAUGGUUAUUUGCAGUAACUUAUAACAUCUAUUGUUUUAU
Molecule: long non-coding RNA, 959 nt
Organism: Dendrobium catenatum
Lineage: Eukaryota; Viridiplantae; Streptophyta; Magnoliopsida; Asparagales; Orchidaceae
Exons: 3
Source: RefSeq, a predicted model, not a curated record